AUUUUAUGUAACUUUGUAUUUCAGGAGGACCUGACAAAUCAUCCAGUAUGAUGGUACAUCCAAUUCAUAAAAGCAAAAUCAAACAAGAUUCACUGAUACUUCUGAUGGCAGUGAUGGCCCAUCUAGAGCAAGCUGCUGCAAAGAUGCCAGUGGAGGAGGCAUGGCCAGGGCUGUGCCCUCUACAGAGCCCAUGGAAACCAGGAACAGGUGAGAACCCAACCUCCUUCCAAGUUGACAGGGCAGGAGCCAUGCCCACCCUGGCACAGCAGCAGCUGCCCAGCCAGGUGUGGACUCAGGCAUCCCUCUACUCUUGGGAACCCAAGGAGUCCUUCUACCUCCACAAGCUCAGAAGGGUCUGUUCCCACUGCCUGGCCUCUCCCUGCUCUAGGUGCUCAUUCAGAUUUUGGAGCAAAGUUGAGGCCAAGCCUAGGCACCAUCGUGACCCAGCCAGGUGUGUGGGAGCUCAAGG
RNAcentral lists this long non-coding RNA (469 nucleotides) under Papio anubis (olive baboon). RNAcentral describes it as "lncRNA (ENSPANG00000040314.1)". Lineage: Eukaryota; Metazoa; Chordata; Mammalia; Primates; Cercopithecidae. The record is from RNAcentral.